CCGCUCCUGGGGGUGAGGCAGGUGUGCAUGGGGCCGGCUGAGGACACAGUCACAGGCCACCACAGGACAGUGACCUUCCUUGUGCUGGCCCUCUCACCCCAUGAGAAGCUGGUAUGUGUGCAAGGGCCCUCAGGCUGCAGAGAGCAAGGCAAGGUGGCCUGCUCCUCAUCACCGUGGCCGGGCCACAGGGCGUUCCCAGGUCCCCAUGUGGACCACCCACUGUCCAGGCAGGGGGCUGAGGGUGGGCAGCAGGCACAGACCACCUGUGAGCCUGCACCUCACUGACCUGCCACCCUAGGGCGCCCAGCCUCCUUCUCCAGAGCACUGCCCAGCAGCCCUGCAGCCCGGAGCCCUCUCCCCGCAGGCCCCAGGCCCAGCCCUGACCCCGCCCCACAGACAGGACCAUGAAGGCCAAGGUCGUGGAGGAGUUCCACAGAGUGCUCCAGACACUGUCCCAGCCCAUGGGGUCUUCCUGGACUGUCCCAGGGGGAGGUAGACCCAGGCCACCCCAGCUCUGGGUGCAGCCCUCUGCCCCUCAGCAGGAAGCCAGGGCGCCCGAGUCCACUGCUGGUCCCCCAGGAGCAGGGCAGCACCCUCUGUCCUGCGGGCCCUCCCCAGUCCUGCCGGCCUCCCAGGUGGGGUGGGUGGGUGCAGGACUCCCCCAGGGGUGCCGCCUCCCUCCCCUGAGCCCCAGAUCCUCCCCCGGGCUGCUGAGUCCCCACCACGUCUCUUGUCCCCUGACGCCCUGUUGCCCUUCCUCUGCAGAGCAGUGCUGCGUCUGGGGAGCUCCUGUGGGUCCUGCCCCCAGGGCCUGGCACGCCCACCUGGGUCCCCAGGCAGGUGGCCCUGCAGGAUGGGCAGGAUCCUGGGGUUGGUCUUACCAUCAUGGAGGUCAGGCUGGAUGCAGUCAGUGUCCAGGGGCCAGCACGAUGUGUCCCACUGCCCUGCUGUGGGGUCCCGUGCUUCCUCCUGGGCUCAGGGCCUGGUGUGGAGGUGAGAGGCUGGGGGCGGGGGGCUCCUGCUCACAGGGAUGGAACAGGAAGCCAGGAUAGGGACUGUCAUAACCACAGCACCAAGGGGGUGUCCGCAGCCCCACCCCAGUGUCCUCAACAUGCAGAUCUUCCUUUGUCUACUUACGUUACCUUUAAACCAAAAUCCUUGGCCUCCUCCACGGGUCAAGCUGACCCCUGCCCUCCUGUGCCUCCAGAGAGGCCUCCUCCUGUCCUUCCCAGGGGUGUUGACGAGCUGAGGAGGUAGCCACCUGUGUGCUCUGCGUCCUCUGCGGAGCCUGCUCUCUGACUGAGGGUGCAGGUGCCGGCACCAGCCACUGGGACUCGCGCAGACCCACAGGCGCUACUGAGAAACGGAUGUGACUCCAUUUUUGAGAAACCAGCUUCUACCUCAAGGCCUGUCCUAAGGAAGGGGGUGUGACCCUUGUCUUGGGAAAAACCCCCAGAGUACUCCUAAGCACACACCCACCCUGCUGAGUUGUUUGUCUGCACAUAACAGGAGAGGUCUGUGGCACCAGGUGUCCCCGACUCUGUCAGGCUAGGUGAAGACCCAAAGCAGCCCCCUAGCAACCUCUAAUCAGCAUGAGACAGGGAAAUACCUGGGAAGCCAGAUGACCCCCCAGUAGUUUAUGGUGGUUGAUAACAUGUUGGGAAACCAGGUCGUUCAGCACGAACACCCCUCGUGGCCUAAACCAAUCAGUUCAAAGGAACCCCCUCUUGUACUAGCCAAUCACCCCUACCCAACUUGUUCCCGCCAGUGAAUGAGCUAAUCAAUGUUGUUUGACUUUCCCGCAGUGUGGAAUGAUUUGCUGUGUGAUGUUGUGACGCAUACAGUAUCCCCCCAAAACCUAUAAAAUCUCACUGAACAAAGGACCGGGACUCACUCCCUGGGACCGCUGCGUCGGGAACGGUUGUGAGUCCAGGCUCGAGCUUGCAAUAAAGACUCUUGUGUGAUGGCAUCGGAUUCGGCUCCUGGAGGUCUACUGGGGUCCCAGGAAUCUGGCAUUACACUACUGCUGGGGAAAGGCCUCAGCUCAUCACCUACAGAAGAAGAACGUCCAUUUCCACAAAAAAUUGUGAAAAAUCUAGAAAAGUGAAUACAGAACAUGGUCUCAGAAUGCAGGAGCCGGAGGGAGCGCAGGGCCCUUGGUGCAAGAGCAGAGCAGGUGGGAGAGAAGCGUAGAAGGGAGGGGAAGAGAGAGAAAACAGCAAGGAAUUAGGAAAUCCAGAGACGCCAACUAGAAAUGUCUGCACCUCUGCCCCAGACAGGAGUGAGGAAGGUGGGGAUUCAGCCCACCUGUCAGAAGCUACCAGAAAAAAUUCCCCAAACCAAAUUCCAGAAACCACCAAUGACACAGAUUGGGAGAGAGUUAAUUAAAAGAGUCACAGGGAUUAUACUUUCACAAUAUAUUCUAACCUUUUUUUUUUUUUUGGAGCAGGGGGUGUGCUAGAGAUUGAACCCAGGGUGCUUUACCAUUGAGCCACAUCCCCAGCCCUUUGUAUCUUUUUUAUUUUAAGACAGGGCCUCCUCAAGUUGCUUAGGGUCUUGCUAAGUUGCUGAGGCUGGCCUUCAACUUAUAAUCCUCCUGUCUCAGCCUCCCAGGUGCCUGGGAUAUGCUAACAUUUAAUAUUUCCAGAUGGACGGCUUUGAAGCCAAAUGUAAUUGCCCGUGAAGAUCAGGAAAGACUGUAAAAAUGCAAGCAGGGCCCUCACAGGGCAGAUGGCAGCCACAUGCAUAGAGCCUGGCCCGCAUCCAGGUGCUAGGGAGGUGGCUGGUCUCCUGCUCCUGUAGGGAACCAUGAACCCGGACACUUGCUUGGUUCCAGGCACGGCCUCCCAGCUCCUCAGCACUGGGAAAACACCUCCAUCCCAACCUGCAGACACAGCACAGUGAAGGAGGGCCAGGCCACAGACCCUUAGAGCUAAGGCACCAAGGGACAUCCCAGUGCCUCACAGAACAGCCUGACAGAGGCCAUUACUGUCCUCACGGCCAGGCGGUAGCCCGUGCCUGGACCAGCACUUGGGCCCAAGGACCACACUUGGGUGUGGCGCCUCCUGCCUCCACCCCAAGCUGCCCUACACCCCACAGCACUGUCCCCAGAGCCCAGCAGAUGGGCCAUAAGAGGAGG
RNAcentral lists this long non-coding RNA (3139 nucleotides) under Marmota monax (woodchuck). Lineage: Eukaryota; Metazoa; Chordata; Mammalia; Rodentia; Sciuridae. The record is from RNAcentral.